AACGUAGGAGACAAACGUUAUCCGGAGUUACUGGGCGUAAAGGGCGUGCAGGUGGCUGUUUAAGUUCGGCGUGAAAGCCUCCGGCUAAACCGGGGGAGGUCGUCGGAAACUGGACAGCUCGAGGGUGAUAGAGGCGGGUGGAAUUCCGGGUGUAGUGGUGAAAUGCGUAGAGAUCCGGAGGAACACCAGUGGCGAAGGCGACCCGCUGGGUCACACCUGACACUGAGACGGGACAGCAUGGGGAGCGAACGGGAUUAGAAGGCCCAGUAGUCC
This 273-nucleotide ribosomal RNA is filed under the name uncultured bacterium. Its description in RNAcentral is "partial 16S ribosomal RNA". It matches the Rfam family "Bacterial small subunit ribosomal RNA", at positions 524 to 796 of the family's 1533-position model. The record is from RNAcentral.